AGGAGUAAAAGAUAAUUAAAAUUACCCGUUGAGCCGGCCGUGGCAUUGUUGUAAAUCCAACGACGAUUAAAAGCCAGAACGAUGGUGGCGACGACGGGUCAACGCGCGGCUCGUGAAUUCGACGCGCAUCAAUAGCCGACGAAGAUGCUACAGGAAGCAAUCGCUUCAGUUUUGUUUCUGUUUAGCCACCCGAUGAGUCGUUCGCUUCGCUUGUAUGACUCUGAUACACUCUCUCUCUCGCCUUCAAUUUUUGCUUACGAUUUGUCAUCUGUUCUUACAUAAUGAUAACCAAUGCUUACUUCUGAGACAAUGCAUUUUUAACUUUGGUCUUCAGAUCAAUGGCUUGAUUAAAAUGACAUCAAUGUUGUGCUAUUGUGUUAAAUGGGGUUAGUAUGAGUUUGUGGAAUGAUCUUUAACUCUUAAGGUUACAAGUGUUAAAGUGUAUGUUAAUUUUUAUGCUGAUUUAAUUGAAUGCAUAUGAAUUAUUUCCAGCCUUCAAAAUUAGCUGCUUGAGAAACUAGUAUAUACUAUUUUACUGAGGUAACGUAGGAGAAGGUGAAGAUGUUACAUUGCAGUUUUGAUGUUAAACAUUGCAGUUUUCCCCUUAAAAGUCUUAAUCUUUUGUAAUGCUUCUAACUAGGGACAUGACUCAAGUAACUUCUCCUACAAUCUCUUCGUUUUUGAUCUGUGGACCUUUACUUUUUCUAAUCUUGGACGUGUAUCUUCCUUUCCAGCGACUUUGGCGUGAUAGUCACCUUCAGACCGUGCUUCAUGUACAAGGUUGUAGUAACUCUGGGGACAACGACAUGAUCUUUAACAACCUUGAUUGAGUACCUCAACAAGAUUGAAGCAGCAACUGUCUUCAUCUGUAGGUAAGCAAAUGUUUUCCCUAAACACAGCCUUGGUCCAGCAUUAAACACAACGUAUUUGAAUUGGUCAUCACUCACAAAAUUCCCUGCUUGGAUCCACCUCUCUGGUUUAAAUGAUUCACAGUCUUUCCCCCAAAUGGAUUCCGUCCUUCCCAUGGUGUAAGUUGCAAAGUAAAUCCGUGAACCUUUACGUAUGAAAGUCCCAUCGGGGAAAACAUCAUCUUCAGUGGCUUGUUUCAUUUCCAUUGGAAUUGGA
This 1125-nucleotide long non-coding RNA is filed under the name Capsella rubella. RNAcentral describes it as "long non-coding RNA (CRUB_LNC004635)". Lineage: Eukaryota; Viridiplantae; Streptophyta; Magnoliopsida; Brassicales; Brassicaceae. The record is from RNAcentral.